RNAcentral lists this long non-coding RNA (1610 nucleotides) under Vigna radiata. RNAcentral's name for it is "long non-coding RNA (VRAD_LNC003669)". Lineage: Eukaryota; Viridiplantae; Streptophyta; Magnoliopsida; Fabales; Fabaceae. The record is from RNAcentral.
UAUAAAAGAGAAGCUUCAUCUCUUGUAAAUCAACUUGAGUUUAAGUAAUGAAAUGCUGCUGAACUUCAGCCAUUGCUCUCAAGUUCGAACUUGUGCUUUGUUAUCCAGCACCUCCUAUAGCUCCUUUCCCCUUUGGAAGGCUGCCUGAGCUAUAAUUCUACCAAACACAUUCAUCCAACAUCACCAGAUAUUUUCACAAACACCUUCAGUGCAAUUCACACUUCAUCUUCUCCAUCAGUCCGCUGCCAUUUCUCUGGUUCUGGAAGUGUUUGUGACUGAGUUGCAACGAUGCUUCCAUCACUAUCUUUCUCCCUUUACCCCUUAGAUUAAUACUUAAACACUUAAAUAUAUUAAACCUUUUACUAGAGGCGCCCAACAAAAGACAUGAAAACUUCUAUUUUGCUAAGAGCAGAUGGGACCCAUAUCAUUCAAUGUCUACAAAAUAAACACAUAAUGGUCUAACAUUCAAAGUUAAAUUACUCUAGGAUGCUACCAAACUUCCCCAUAUAAAAUCCUUAUAUAUUGUCAUUAUAAACCAACUCUUACACCAUUUACAUAGACUAGCAUUAUACUUCCUCAUUCUCUCUCCUUUCCAUAACCAUGUUCCUCCUGCAUUCUUAAUCUAUUAUAAUACUUCUUUUCUCUCUCAUUGAACUCUUAACGUCAACACCCCACCAUUCAACUCCACCAACUUUCCUUCCUCCUUUUCUCUCUUUCCCUACUUAUGUAAUCCCCUACAACCCGUGCCUCUUCCCCUUCUCUUUUUCUUCUCCCAUAAAAUACUCACGUACACCACUUCCCCAAAACACCUACUAACCCUCCCAUCAUAUCACCAUAGAUCCCACUCCUAUUUCUAAACCAACUUCCCCUGAUCGUCAUACUUCCACCCUCCUUUCUCCAACUCCAUUCAAGUGGGACCCACUCCAUCAUUUCCUCCAAAACAAUACCUGCAAAAGAAGCAAUAACUCUCCUUCAUACUUCUUACGUAUCACUUUCUUUUUCCCUUCCUUUAUUUUGUGUUCCUUAUUGCUAACCCUAGAAUACCUCUUUUUGUGAAACCCACGGUUACACCCACACUCAUUUCAUUCAUUCUACCUUUCCAACCCUAACCUCAUACUUUCUGCUACCUUCUCCUUCCUAUUUCUUCCUUUUCUCUAACCUUACAAACACACAACUUUCUUCAUCCUAACUUUUCUUCUAACAAAACCUCCCAGUGAAGAACCGGAACUACUACUCUACAGCAUAAAUCAACACGCUCAUCGAACAUCAUUUUCUCACCACCAGACUCUCUUUCUCAAGCUAGAUUCAAACCCGUAACUCUUCUUCAUCCUCUAAACGUUUAACGUUACUUCUUCUUUCUUUCGGUCUCACCAAGGACACCUUCUACACAUUGCUGCACUCCCCACUCAUUACAGAAUUUAUUAAGGUAGAGAACCCACCACAUGGAUAUGCAUGAACCAAAGCAAUCACCACGAGAAUGAAUUCAAGAAGAAAAACCACCCAAACUCAAUACAUAUGAUAUAUUCUAGUCACCGCUUACCUUGCCUUUGCAAAAGCUUCCUAGAGUAUUUUUGCAAGAGUACUUUUGCAAACCGGAGAAGCCCCUCCUC